UGGGGGAUAUUGCACAAUGGGGGAAACCCUGAUGCAGCAACGCCGCGUGAGGGAAGAAGGUUUUCGGAUUGUAAACCUCUGUCCUUGGUGACGAUAAUGACGGUAGCCAAGGAGGAAGCUCCGGCUAACUACGUGCCAGCAGCCGCGGUAAUACGUAGGGAGCGAGCGUUGUCCGGAUUUACUGGGUGUAAAGGGUGCGUAGGCGGCCAUGCAAGUCAGGUGUGAAAACCCGGGGCUUAACCCCGGGACUGCAUUUGAAACUGUGUGGCUUGAGUGAAGUAGAGGCAGGCGGAAUUCCCGGUGUAGCGGUGAAAUGCGUAGAGAUCGGGAGGAACACCAGUGGCGAAGGCGGCCUGCUGGGCUUUAACUGACGCUGAGGCACGAAAGCAUGGGUAGCAAACA
This 402-nucleotide ribosomal RNA is filed under the name uncultured bacterium. RNAcentral's name for it is "bacterial SSU rRNA". It matches the Rfam family "Bacterial small subunit ribosomal RNA", at positions 355 to 774 of the family's 1533-position model. The record is from RNAcentral.